GAUGAAGAACGCAGCGAAAUGCGAUAAGUAAUGUGAAUUGCAGAAUUCAGUGAAUCAUCGAAUCUUUGAACGCACCUUGCGCCCUUUGGCCAUUCCGAAGGGCAUGCCUGUUUGAGUAUCAUGAACACCUCAACUCUUCAUGGUUUUCCAUGAUGAGCUUGGACUUUGGGGGUCUUGCUGGCCUGUGGGUCGGCUCCUCUCAAAUGAAUCAGCUUGCCGGUUUUUGGUGGGCAUCACAGGUGUGAUAACUAUCUACGCUUGUGGUUUUCCACCAGGGUAUCCUUCAGCAGUGGAGGUUCACUGGAGCUUACAAAUGUCUCUCCUCUGUGAGGACAGCCCUUUGAAUGUUUGAUCUCAAAUCAGGUAGGACUACCCGCUGAACUUAAGCAUAUCAAAAGCGGAGGA
Molecule: unclassified non-coding RNA, 405 nt
Filed under: soil metagenome
Description: partial contains 5.8S ribosomal RNA, internal transcribed spacer 2, and large subunit ribosomal RNA
Rfam family: 5.8S ribosomal RNA (bases 1-121)
Source: RNAcentral